AAUAUAUUCAGGACUUCCAGAGGGAG
RNAcentral lists this non-coding RNA (26 nucleotides) under Cricetulus griseus (Chinese hamster). The record is from RNAcentral. Lineage: Eukaryota; Metazoa; Chordata; Mammalia; Rodentia; Cricetidae.